AUUCUAUCUUUUGAGAGAAUAGUGCUAAAAAAUAGGGUCAGCCGGAAGUAACUCUGAACAGGAUAGACUGACUGAAACAUUAACAUGGAAGAUUUUUCUCUGCAUCUUCAACUCAGCAAUGCUUUGCAAAAAAAAGACUCAGGCAUAAUUUCACAGAAGUAUGAAAAAGUGCUUUCCCUUAUAUUGAUGCUUACUUUUAAGCCUUUUACUCUUAUCCUUCCAACCAACUUUGGAAAAGCCAACAUAGUAUGUUUAACAGCUAAUUAGGGGCCUUGACCUGAAAUAUGAGAACAGAAGAAGGAGUUUUGGGUCGAGAGGAAGGUGAUUAGAAGGAACUGAAAGACAUGAUAAUUUAAAAAGGGAAACAAGAAGCAUUCCCUCCAGCUUCAUUAAUUACAUGGGAGGAUAGGGAAAAAUGACUCAGAUCUUUGCUAUUUAUAAAUCCGUAAAUCACUCUAUCUGGAUCCUAAAACUGUGCUAGCAAC
Molecule: long non-coding RNA, 485 nt
Organism: Oxyura jamaicensis (ruddy duck)
Lineage: Eukaryota; Metazoa; Chordata; Aves; Anseriformes; Anatidae
Exons: 3
Source: RefSeq, a predicted model, not a curated record